GAAAUCAUCUGGAAAAGAGAAUAUCCCUCCUGCUUCUCCCCAUAGAACUCCUAUUGUGAUGCAAACAUUGGAUUCCACUCCUCAUUCAUCACCAAGGUCAAAGUUCAGUGGCUUCAAAGAAAAUAAAGAAUCAUCUCCUAAAGUCUGCCCAGAUAUCGAGAUUAUCGAUGAGACAACUUUAUCUGACACUGUCAUUCGAAUGACUAAAAGAUCUGAUGAGAUUUAUAAUUCCAAUCUUCAGAAAUCUGGAAACAAUGCAAAUAUAUCUUCAGGUGCUGGUUGUUCUGGCCAUCAUUUCAAUCAUCAGUUCUCUGUACUCUCUCAGCAACACAGGAGAUCUGAUUUAAUAACUGGUGGCAAAUUGCCUAUUCAUGGUCCGAGGAGGUUUUCAAAACCAGCCCCCAUUUCAAACAGUGGCUUUGUUCCUGCUUCUAACGUUUUUGCUAUUUCUAAGUCUGAGGUUGAGAAUUAUAACAUCAUUUGUAAAUUGGCUUCAUCUUAGUACCAAUGGUUUGUAUUCCAUUUAUAUCUUCAUUUGUUCAGUUUUUUUUUCUUGUUGCUCCUAAUGAAGCCUGCAGGCCUUCUUUGGUUAAGUCUUUUUCCAUGAUUUUUUUUCAAAUUCUUUUUUUCAGUGAGGAUGCUGUUAAUAUCUUUGGAGUUCGAUGCACGUUCUGGUCUCUUGGCGAUUCAUUGAAGCCUGGUGGUUUCGUCAAGUCUUUUGUUGUUUCUGCUUUUUGCUUCAGUCUGUUCCAAAAGCCCAAUGGCCAUCCUGACAGUUCAAAGAGGCAUUAUUUCUUCCCAAACAUUGCUUAUAAUCUGUUGAAGGACUAUGAUGAAGCAGAUCAACAGGUUUUGUCUCGUGCUUUUACUAAAUCUUCCAAAGCCAGACCUCUUAAUCAUUCUAAUAUGUUGUUCUAUCCAACUUGCUUCAAAGACCAUUGGUUUGUAUUCAUAGUCGAUCUAAAGGACAGAAAGUAUGUCAUCCUUGACUCUUUGCAUAAGCAAAAUGAUGAUUUUCAAGUUUUUAUUCGUGAA
This is a long non-coding RNA of Panicum virgatum (switchgrass), 1035 nucleotides long. RefSeq lists it as uncharacterized. Lineage: Eukaryota; Viridiplantae; Streptophyta; Magnoliopsida; Poales; Poaceae. The transcript has 5 exons. The record is from RefSeq and is a predicted model, not a curated record.